AUACGAAAGUUGCAAGCGUUGUUCGGAUUUACUGGGCGUAAAGAGAGUGUAGGUGGUUUAUUAAGUCGGAUGUGAAAUCCCGGGGCUCAACCUCGGAACUGCAUUCGAUACUGAUAGGCUAGAGUUUGGGAGGGGUAAGCGGAAUUCCGUGUGUAGCAGUGAAAUGCGUAGAUAUACGGAGGAACACCUGAGGCGAAGGCGGCUUACUGGACCAAUACUGACACUGAGACUCGAAAGCGUGGGUAGCAAACAGGAUUAGAAACCCUAGUAGUCC
This 274-nucleotide ribosomal RNA is filed under the name uncultured bacterium. RNAcentral describes it as "partial 16S ribosomal RNA". It matches the Rfam family "Bacterial small subunit ribosomal RNA", at positions 523 to 796 of the family's 1533-position model. The record is from RNAcentral.